GUUACAUGGCUAUAAAAGGAACCAAACUGGUUUAGAAAUUCCGAAUCCACAGUAAAUCUUAUGACUCAUUUGGAUUAGAGAAUUGUCUGCAGGGAGAGAUGAUUUGUCCAUUAUUUUCCUGACCGGCUUGGACCUAGAUGACUCCUCGGAUAAACACAGGUUAUGCCCAAGCUUAAAGGAGAGGUUCAAAGUCUUUGGGAGGAAGGAAAGUUCAAGGUGAAAAAGAAGAACAAAAACAGAACAACUGACAUUUCCAUCAAGUGGCCCUUAGAACAAUCUACCAACUAACAGCUCUCUGUAAAGGUUGCUGAUGUUCUAUUUUAUAAAGGUUAGACAGAACUGGGUACAUAAUCUGCAGAACCCAUUGCAAUAUAAAAAUGCAGGCCACUUGUUCAAUAAUUAUAAGAAUUUCAAAAUGGUAACAGCAAAGUAGUGACUACGCGUGGACCCUUACAAGCAUUGGGUCCCAUGUCACUGCCAAAAUCACCUAUUCCUGAAGGCUGCCCUGAAGUUAGAUGUGCUCUUGCUAAAUCUUUAGUUUCUCUUAGGAUGCCUUCAUUGACUGAUGCAUUAAUCCAACAAAAGUGGUUAUGUGUCUCUGAAGUCCAAAGAGCAUACAGAUCAUGCCAUCAUGGUUUUCCAGAUUUUUAAUUUUUAUGUGGCAUUACCUAAAAAAUAAAAACUUAUGGCGGCCUUCUACUUUAUUUUCUUGUAGGGCUUCACUGGACAUAAAGA
Molecule: long non-coding RNA, 735 nt
Organism: Lemur catta (Ring-tailed lemur)
Lineage: Eukaryota; Metazoa; Chordata; Mammalia; Primates; Lemuridae
Exons: 3
Source: RefSeq, a predicted model, not a curated record